UUGCAUAUCAUUAUUAUUAUUAUUAUUAUUUAACCAGAAGUGGGAGCAGCAGCAGGGAGAAGAAGAAGGAAAUCGUAACGGGACCCACCGAAGUACAGAUGUUGUGAAUGUGAAUGAUCAGGUGUGAAUAAUUUCACGGCAUGGGUUUGAUUUCAGAUUCUCAAUUUUAUUAUAAAGUCUUUCACGUCUCUUUUCGUGGCAACCUUCCAAACAAUGCGGACCUCGAGAAUACAGAGAGUUAGAUAAUAUUCAUGCCAGCCAAAAAGUUAAGGAGGCGAAGAGUGGGGAAAAACAUACCACAAACAAACCUGAAUUUGUACACUAACCGACUUUUGUAAUUGGAUUUCCAUGCAAAUUGGUAAUACGAAAGAGCCAAGAAAUGCAUAGGCUGGUGUGAUAGGUCGGGCAUAAAGGGUGUCGCAAGAGUUUAGGCAGUAAGAAGAGCAUCAGCAGAGUGAGAUUCUGCAGAAAAUGUGUAAACUUUUGGCUUCUCGAUUUUCAGAUAUGUGUUUGUGAAAAAAAUUUCUGGAAUUUGUAUUUAAUAUUAAAUGUGAAAAAUGCCAAAAUAUUUAGGAAAAAUAAUAAAACAAAUAUAAAAA
This is a long non-coding RNA of Folsomia candida, 599 nucleotides long. RefSeq lists it as uncharacterized. The record is from RefSeq and is a predicted model, not a curated record. The transcript is spliced from 2 exons. Lineage: Eukaryota; Metazoa; Arthropoda; Collembola; Entomobryomorpha; Isotomidae.